GGGGUUGUGGCUCACUGGUAGAGCGCUUGCCUUGUACAUGUGGGACCCUGGGUUCGAUCCUCAGCACCCCA
Molecule: transfer RNA, 71 nt
Filed under: Marmota marmota marmota (Alpine marmot)
Lineage: Eukaryota; Metazoa; Chordata; Mammalia; Rodentia; Sciuridae
Also listed under: 1 other name
Rfam family: tRNA
About the family: Transfer RNA (tRNA) molecules are approximately 80 nucleotides in length. Their secondary structure includes four short double-helical elements and three loops (D, anti-codon, and T loops).
Source: Rfam by way of RNAcentral